CUAAUAAUGAUCUUUUCCAAGGUUAUGGAGAUGACUCAUCUUCAGAAUCCGAUGAUUGUGAAGCAUUUGGUCGGCUUCCAAUGAAAAUGUCCCCAAAACAAUCUCUGCCAACAACAUCCAGGGCAUCUGGUGGGCAAGCCAAUGGAGCAGGAGCGGGACCCAAAAAGACCACAUCACCAAACACAUCAUGUGAAUUCUACAAUACAUAUACAAAUGUAUAUGCACCAGUUGUCAUUGACAGCAGUUCCUCAGAUGUUGAGGAAGUCGACUACUCUCAGGUGGAAGACAGGUACUUUGAUACAAAUAAUGCUGUUAGCCUUGUUAUUUUUUUCUUUCCCUCAGAUGAAAUAUUAAUCGGCCCAAUUACAUUGGGCAUUUUACCUGGUUUCUGUUGCCAUAUUAAAGUAAAUAUUUGAAUUUCAUAUGUUUUUACUUAAAUGACGCCUUAACAGAAAAACAAUCUGGCAAAAAUUAUUGAAAGCUUGCAACGUGUGCUUCAUGCUUAUGCCCAUCACAUUUCCUCACACUCAUAUGGUGUACUUACUGUAAUGGGCCCAUAAAAUACAAAAAUAUUAAUAUUUUAACCAUGUUCAUAACCAAGAGGAGGCAGCGUU
Molecule: long non-coding RNA, 614 nt
Organism: Gadus morhua (Atlantic cod)
Lineage: Eukaryota; Metazoa; Chordata; Actinopteri; Gadiformes; Gadidae
Exons: 4
Source: RefSeq, a predicted model, not a curated record